AUCCAUAGCCUGGGCUUACAUGUUCUAUAGUAACAGAAAUGGUACAUGAAAAUUGUGUGUGGAGAAAGGCUGGCAGCUUUACAGAGGAAAUUUCAGAACCUGUACAUAAGUGAGACAGGCUCGAGAGGCACGGACUCCGAUGUCUCGUGGGAGCAGUCCUUGAACCCGAUUGUCAGAGAUCUGAAGGUGCCUAAUCUCCUGCAGAACUGAGCAGAACUUCAUGUUCCUAAGUGGGAUUCAAUUCAUGCUGUUUGGCUGAUCGAUGGCCAUGAGUGUUCCAUGUGUAAGUAGUUAUAAACACUUUGUUUUAUUCAUGUUGCUUUUUAUCACAGAACAUAGUUUGUAUUGAGGAACACUCCAGGUGGACCAUGGCCCUUGCAUUCCACCCCAGUGAGAGGUGCUUUCAAAGGCCCUUUUGUUGCUCCAUCAGUGCAAGGCCUAAACAUAUUCCAUAAACAAUCUUACAGGAUUAGAGAGUAACUGGAGUCAGAGAGAAUAUGGUAAAUUAUGUUAGGAACAGGUACAAGACUGGUGAUCCUUGAGGGACCCUCUGCAACUCUGCCUGUGGCAGCAUGUCUUCUUGCAAUCAUCUCUUCAGCUCUGGUGUUGUUGCCUAAAGCCAUGUGGUAGAUUUAUGCAUUGAAUUGUCUUGUCUUUAAAGAUAUCUAGCUGCUUUCAAACCAGUAUCGUUAACUUUCUACCUAAUGAAGCUGAAUAAAAUGAAAGAUGUUUGUUCUUGGUCGGCUUCUUCCAUGAUCUGGGAUGCAUCUGGGAAUUCAAUCUCUUCUUAGAAUUACCUAAAUAUUUCUGAGUGCCAAAUAUAACCAACUGAAAUG
This is a non-coding RNA of Cyanistes caeruleus (blue tit), 836 nucleotides long. Lineage: Eukaryota; Metazoa; Chordata; Aves; Passeriformes; Paridae. The record is from RefSeq and is a predicted model, not a curated record.